This 760-nucleotide ribosomal RNA is filed under the name Tremellochaete atlantica. Its description in RNAcentral is "LSU rRNA". It matches the Rfam family "Eukaryotic large subunit ribosomal RNA", at positions 130 to 882 of the family's 3401-position model. Lineage: Eukaryota; Fungi; Basidiomycota; Agaricomycetes; Auriculariales; Auriculariaceae. The record is from RNAcentral.
ACGGCCGUCCGAGUUGUAAUCUAGAGAGGUGUUUUCCGUGCCGGACCGUGUACAAGUCCCUUGGAACAGGGCGUCAUAGAGGGUGAGAAUCCCGUCCAUGACACGGACUCCCGGUGCUCUGUGAUACACCUUCAAAGAGUCGAGUUGUUUGGGAAUGCAGCUCAAAACGGGUGGUAAAUUCCAUCUAAAGCUAAAUACAGGCGAGAGACCGAUAGCGAACAAGUACCGUGAGGGAAAGAUGAAAAGAACUUUGGAAAGAGAGUUAAACAGUACGUGAAAUUGUUGAAAGGGAAACGCUUGAAGUCAGUCGCGUUUGCCAGGACUCAGCCUUGCUUCUGCUUGGUGCACUUCCUGGUGGAUGGGCCAGCAUCGAUUUUGGUCGCCGGAAAAGGGCGGGAGGAAUGUGGCAGCUUGCUGUGUUAUAGCCUCCCGUCGUACACGGUGGUUGGGAUCGAGGACUGCAGCACGCCUUUUGGUCGGGGUUCGCCCACGCCACGUGCUUAGGAUGCUGGCGUAAUGGCUUUAAACGACCCGUCUUGAAACACGGACCAAGGAGUCUAACAUGCCUGCGAGUGUUUGGGUGUCAAACCCAGGCGCGUAAUGAAAGUGAAAAGUUGGGACUCUUUAGUGAGGCACCGACGCCCGAUCCUGACGUUUUCUGACGGAUUUGAGGCAGAGCAUGUAUGUUGGGACCCGAAAGAUGGUGAACUAUGCCUGAAUAGGGUGAAGCCAGAGGAAACUCUGGUGGAGGCUCGUAGCG